Vespa mandarinia (Asian giant hornet) is the source of this 1897-nucleotide long non-coding RNA. The record is from RefSeq and is a predicted model, not a curated record. NCBI's taxonomy places the organism in Eukaryota, Metazoa, Arthropoda, Insecta, Hymenoptera, Vespidae.
UAUAUAUAUAUAUAUAUAUAUAUAUAUAUAUAAAUUCCGAAUCGGAGGGGAGGAUCGGAUAGAGAAGGGGAGUUGAGGAGAAAAAUAGAAGCGUGAACCAGUUCGUUCUUUCAUAUAAAUAAUAUUGUAUUAAUAAGGCAUUGCGUCUCUCUAAAGGGCUGGUAGUAGUAUGUUGAAAAGAAAAAAAAAAAAGAAGCAACAACAACAACUACCACUUAGACACUACCAUUACUACUACUACUACUACUACUACAAUAACAACAACAAUAACAAGGAAAACAAAUCGAACACUACCGUCUAUCUAGCCUCUUAUUCUCAAAAUUAGGUGUUAUAUUUAAAAAAAAAAAAAAAAAAAAGACAAAAAAGGAAAAAAAAGAAAAAAUUAAAAAGAAAAAAAAAACAAAAAAAAUAUUAAGAAGAAGAAGGGAAAAGGUUGAUUAAUCGAAAAGGAGUGAAAGAGAUAAGAAAAUUAAAGAUCUCUUUCGGCGAAGGAUUAAAUUAUAUUAAAUUAAAUUAAAUUAAAUUAUAUUAAAUUAAAUUAAAUUAAAUUAAAUUAAAUUAAAUUAAAUUAAAUUAAAUUAAAUUAAAUUAAAUUAGGACAAACAAAAAAGAGAACAUAUAUUUAUAAUUCGUGCUUCCACCGAGGACGGUCAUUUCACAAUUAAUAAUUUCUAUAAGAUCGUUCGUUUGUUCGUUUGUCCUAGUUAUCGAUCUCGAUCUCGAUCAUGACCGUGUACUGUUUUUGUUCUUUUUUCCUUUUCUUUUUUUUUUUCGAAUUUUUUAUUUUCAUUUUUUUUUCUUUCUUUCUUUCUUAAAAAAGUAAGAAAUUUAACGUCUUUCGAUCGUUUUUUAGUCUAACAACCAAAGCAAAGACUGUGCAAUAAGUAUUAGAAGAAGAAAAAAAAUGUUACAUAUACAUACAUAUAUGUAGCACACACACAUAUAUAUAUAUAUAUAUGUAUAUAUAUAUAUAUAUAUAUAUAUAUAUAAGAGAGAGAGAGAGAGAGAGAAAGAGAAAGAGAAAUAUACAGGCGAGCAAGAGAAUCUCGAUGAUUCCGUGAAAUGAACGAAAGGGGGAGGAUGAAAUCAUUAAAUGAUAAAAUAAAAAGUAACGCGUGAAUUCACGAUAGAAUCAUGGAUAUUUUCCUUUUCUUUUUUGUUUCAACGAUUGACGACGUGCUUGCAUCUUUUUCUCUUUCUCAAUAUUCGUACGUAAUAUUUUAUUAUUAAAUUCAUGAAAAACAAGAGAAUCGAUGUCUCUGUAAAAUGUUAUUAAGUUCAAUCGAACAGAUCAAUGAAAUUGUACGCUUUCGUUGUUUUAUUUAUUUUUCUUUUCUUUUUCUUUCUAUCUCUCUUUCUCUCUUUCUCUCUGUCUCUCUCUCUCUCUCUCUCUCUCUCUCUCUCUCUCUCUCUCUCUCUCUUUCUCUUUCUCUCUAUCCAAAUAUCAUGUAACACAUGUGAAGGAUAAAACUUAUGUAUCUAUUAAGAAAGGUAUAUGUAAUGUACCUAUUUAUCUAUUUACUUACUUAAUUUUAAUUGAUUAUUUACUUUCUCGUUGGAUGACGAAUUUUUAUUAUAUUUUAUCGCAAAUAUUUAAUCAUUCAGAAAUUUUUCUUAAGGCCCAUAGAGAACAAUUUGAAUUUUAUCCGAGUAAAUCUUUUCAAAGGGAUUUAAUUUCGUAGAGGAUUGAACGAUAUUAUUUUGUGAAAUAUCUAUAAAGAGAGAGAGGAAGAGAGAGAGAGAGAGAGAGAGAGAGAGACCAUCAUCAUUGCCACUACCAUUAUAUGAACAUAAAACGUAAAGAAAAUAUGGAAAUUAUCGUUGGAAAAAGAAAAAGAUGUCAAAAGUUAUGAUUCGUGAAUUUAAAGAAAAAAGAAAAAACAAAAAAAAACAAAAA